This 476-nucleotide ribosomal RNA is filed under the name uncultured bacterium. Its description in RNAcentral is "partial 16S ribosomal RNA". It matches the Rfam family "Bacterial small subunit ribosomal RNA", at positions 28 to 523 of the family's 1533-position model. The record is from RNAcentral.
GAUGAACGCUGGCGGCGUGCUUAACACAUGCAAGUCGAGCGAGAUUAUUCUUCGGAAUAGUCUAGCGGCGGACGGGUGAGUAACACGUGGGCAACCUGCCUUGUAGAGGUGGAUAGCCUUCCGAAAGCAGGAUUAAUACCGCAUAAUGUUAUUGAAAGGCAUCUUUCGAUAAUCAAAGGAGAAAUCAGCUACAAGAUGGGCCCGCGGCGCAUUAGGUAGUUGGUGAGGUAACGGCUCACCAAGGCGACGAUGCGUAGCCGACCUGGGAGGGUGAUCGACCACAUUGGGACUGAGACACGGCCAAGACUCCUACGGGAGGCAGCAGUGGGGAAUAUUGCACAAUGGGGGAAACCCUGAUGCAGCAACGCCGCGUGAGUGAUGACGGCCUUCGGGUUGUAAAGCUCUGUCUUUGGGGACGAUAAUGACGGUACCCAAGGAGGAAGUCACGGCUAACUACGUGCCAGCAGCCGCCGUAA